This 1359-nucleotide long non-coding RNA is filed under the name Heterocephalus glaber (naked mole-rat). Its description in RNAcentral is "lncRNA (ENSHGLG00000043403.1)". The record is from RNAcentral. Lineage: Eukaryota; Metazoa; Chordata; Mammalia; Rodentia; Bathyergidae.
GUCCUUCUCUGGAUGAGAAGAAAAGCAUAAAUCCUGGGAUAUCCACUGGUGGCAAAUGUCACCCACCUGACGAGAGCCAGGAUGCCACCAGUGGCCCCAAGGUCCUGGCUCAGAACAAGAAGUCCUCUGCAACCGAGAUCCAGAGUGUCCUGAAGGAGAUACUGCAGACUGGGGCCAGAGGUGGGGAGAGGGAAGGACACUUGGGUGAUAGAUGUACCUGAGGUCACCAGUCCCCCCCGUCCACUGUCCCCUGUGCCUUGGGCAGCUGACAAAGUUGAAAUAAGAGAAGGAGGAGCAGGACAGGAAGGUCCAGGAGCUAGAGAGGAGCCUGAUGGACCUGAAGGCAGACAUGGGAGGGCCUGGAAGCCUCCAGGCUGCAAGAUCAGCAGUCAACCCCACAGAGAGUCCUGGCCCAGCCCAGGGAAGUUGGAAAUGAAGGCGAUGUGGAGGAAAGGAGUGUGGAGACUCCUCCGUCUGACGACACCACCCCUGCAGACUCGGGCAGCUCAGAGGCCCUGGAACAUCAGGCUCUGCUGCCCAGGGACCUGGGGCAGCAGAAGGGGCAACGCUGCUACCUGACCCACCUAGCAGCCCAACCCAGGACAAACCUGAGGAUGAGGCUCGCACCCCCAGGAGCAGCGGUGACCGUGUGUCCAUGGGGAAGCUGCUGGUCUUGCAGGAGGAGGCAGUGAUCAAGGAGGUGGUAGAGGACCUGAAGCAUCAGUGGCUGGAGCUCUGUGGGGACACAGGCGACAUCGGACGUGGAGCUGGGGCUGGAGGACGAUCCCAGGUCCAUUCACGGAGAGUUUGGGGCCGCUGCACAGAGCCAUGAUCCUCCAAAGGGGAGCCCUGCUCACACUGAGGAGCCCCCAGGAGAAGAGGCUGAGGCGGGGUCCUCUCCUCCCCGGAACCCCGGCUGCCUGACAGUGAGAACCCAUCAGGGCCCAGGCUUGGGACUUCAUCCCUGCAGCCCCUCCAUUCCGUUUUUCUCUGGCGUUUAGGAAAAGGACUCCGUGGAUCUCAAGUUGAUCCAAAGCAUUUCCCCAGCAAAGCCUGGAGAACUGGGGCCCGGGCUCUGUCCCCACUGUUUCCCAUUCAGCCCCACCUGCCUCCCUCCUCUCCUCCCAUCUCCCUGUUAGCCCUAUAGGAGCAAGGUGAGCUCCACACAUUCAUUGUUCUUUGAAAACUUUUUAACUUGUAAAUUUCUAAAGAAAUUAAAAAUGACAAGAAAAAUGUAAAGAUAAUCCAUCAAAUGAACAACAAACUUUAGAAAAUCUUUUAAAUAAAAAUUAGAAAAUGUGUUAUUUUAAUAAAAUUUCUUUCAGGGUCAGAAGGACAGGAGGAGGAAACAGAGAUGGG